RNAcentral lists this ribosomal RNA (728 nucleotides) under Psychrobacter sp. DJHH47. RNAcentral's name for it is "bacterial SSU rRNA". It matches the Rfam family "Bacterial small subunit ribosomal RNA", at positions 374 to 1093 of the family's 1533-position model. The record is from RNAcentral. Lineage: Bacteria; Pseudomonadati; Pseudomonadota; Gammaproteobacteria; Moraxellales; Moraxellaceae.
GGGGGAACCCUGUAUCGAGCGAUGCCGCGUGUGUGAAGAAGGCCUUUUGGUUGUAAAGCACUUUAAGCAGUGAAGAAGACUCUUCGGUUAAUACCCGGAGACGAUGACAUUAGCUGCAGAAUAAGCACCGGCUAACUCUGUGCCAGCAGCCGCGGUAAUACAGAGGGUGCAAGCGUUAAUCGGAAUUACUGGGCGUAAAGCGAGCGUAGGUGGCUUGAUAAGUCAGAUGUGAAAUCCCCGGGCUUAACCUGGGAACUGCAUCUGAAACUGUUAGGCUAGAGUAGGUGAGAGGGAAGUAGAAUUUCAGGUGUAGCGGUGAAAUGCGUAGAGAUCUGAAGGAAUACCGAUGGCGAAGGCAGCUUCCUGGCAUCAUACUGACACUGAGGCUCGAAAGCGUGGGUAGCAAACAGGAUUAGAUACCCUGGUAGUCCACGCCGUAAACGAUGUCUACUAGUCGUUGGGUCCCUUGAGGACUUAGUGACGCAGCUAACGCAAUAAGUAGACCGCCUGGGGAGUACGGCCGCAAGGUUAAAACUCAAAUGAAUUGACGGGGGCCCGCACAAGCGGUGGAGCAUGUGGUUUAAUUCGAUGCAACGCGAAGAACCUUACCUGGUCUUGACAUAUCUAGAAUCCUGCAGAGAUGCGGGAGUGCCUUCGGGAAUUAGAAUACAGGUGCUGCAGGGCUGUCGUCAGCUCGUGUCCUGAGAUGUUGGGUUAAGUCCCGCAAC